Molecule: ribosomal RNA, 729 nt
Filed under: Triticum aestivum (bread wheat)
Lineage: Eukaryota; Viridiplantae; Streptophyta; Magnoliopsida; Poales; Poaceae
Description: partial small subunit ribosomal RNA
Source: RNAcentral
AUGCUUGAUCUCAAUGAGUUGCCUUUUGAUCUCAAUGAGCUUCCUCAUGAUAUGGAUCAGCAGCAACCCAGCAUACCACAAGGAAAUUUGACAGAAAAUGGGCGAUCUGUUUACGACACGCAGACAAGUCAUGGUGCUAACCCUAUGGGCCAUGACAAUGUGGCAGGACAAUCAUCAACCCGUGGUGCCCCUGUAGUGGUGUCUUUGCAGUCAGAGAGCCAUACUCUUGAUGACAUGGGAAUCGCGGCAAAUGUUCCUGGUCCAACCAGGACUGAGCUAGGAGCUGGGGCUGUUGAUGGUGUUGUGCAAGGAGAAGAAGGAGAGGAUGAGGCUGGUUCUCAACCUAUGGAACCCUAUGCUGGCAUGAGGUUUGACAGCCUUCAAAUUGCUAAGGAUCACUACAACAGCUACGUCCUACGGAUGGGUUUCUCUGUCAAGAUGAACACCUCUAGGCGGACACCUCACACCAAUGCAUUGGUAAAACAGCAGUUUUGCUGCAACAAGUUCAAGAAGUCCAAAGCUGAUGAUGGAGAAGAUGAGGCUCCUCCUGUCCUGGACCAUAUUCCAGAUCCAAAACAUGUUGAUAGUGAUGAGAAAAUGGAAGAUGAACCUCCAAUCUUUGCUGAAGAGGAGGCUGGUCCUAGUAAGAAAAAGAAGAACCGGAAACGCGAGACAAUAAAACAGACUCAAUGCAAGGCAAAAAUGUUGGUGAAGCUGAUAGAUGGGUGA